This 429-nucleotide ribosomal RNA is filed under the name uncultured bacterium. RNAcentral's name for it is "bacterial SSU rRNA". It matches the Rfam family "Bacterial small subunit ribosomal RNA", at positions 330 to 775 of the family's 1533-position model. The record is from RNAcentral.
ACCAGACUCCUACGGGAGGCAGCAGUGGGGAAUAUUGCACAAUGGGGGAAACCCUGAUGCAGCAACGCCGCGUGAGUGAAGAAGUAUUUCGGUAUGUAAAGCUCUAUCAGCAGGGAAGAAGAAAGACGGUACCUGACUAAGAAGCCCCGGCUAACUACGUGCCAGCAGCCGCGGUAAUACGUAGGGGGCAAGCGUUAUCCGGAUUUACUGGGUGUAAAGGGAGCGUAGACGGCAGCGCAAGUCUGAAGUGAAAUGCCGGGGCUUAACCCCGGAACUGCUUUGGAAACUGUGCAGCUAGAGUGCAGGAGAGGUAAGUGGAAUUCCUAGUGUAGCGGUGAAAUGCGUAGAUAUUAGGAGGAACACCAGUGGCGAAGGCGGCUUACUGGACUGUAACUGACGUUGAGGCUCGAAAGCGUGGGGAGCAAACAG